Molecule: ribosomal RNA, 818 nt
Filed under: Bacillus zhangzhouensis
Lineage: Bacteria; Bacillati; Bacillota; Bacilli; Caryophanales; Bacillaceae
Description: bacterial SSU rRNA
Rfam family: Bacterial small subunit ribosomal RNA
Source: RNAcentral
GAGCUUGCUCCCGGAUGUUAGCGGCGGACGGGUGAGUAACACGUGGGUAACCUGCCUGUAAGACUGGGAUAACUCCGGGAAACCGGAGCUAAUACCGGAUAGUUCCUUGAACCGCAUGGUUCAAGGAUGAAAGACGGUUUCGGCUGUCACUUACAGAUGGACCCGCGGCGCAUUAGCUAGUUGGUGGGGUAAUGGCUCACCAAGGCGACGAUGCGUACCCGACCUGAGAGGGUGAUCGGCCACACUGGGACUGAGACACGGCCCAGACUCCUACGGGAGGCAGCAGUAGGGAAUCUUCCGCAAUGGACGAAAGUCUGACGGAGCAACGCCGCGUGAGUGAUGAAGGUUUUCGGAUCGUAAAGCUCUGUUGUUAGGGAAGAACAAGUGCGAGAGUAACUGCUCGCACCUUGACGGUACCUAACCAGAAAGCCACGGCUAACUACGUGCCAGCAGCCGCGGUAAUACGUAGGUGGCAAGCGUUGUCCGGAAUUAUUGGGCGUAAAGGGCUCGCAGGCGGUUUCUUAAGUCUGAUGUGAAAGCCCCCGGCUCAACCGGGGAGGGUCAUUGGAAACUGGGAAACUUGAGUGCAGAAGAGGAGAGUGGAAUUCCACGUGUAGCGGUGAAAUGCGUAGAGAUGUGGAGGAACACCAGUGGCGAAGGCGACUCUCUGGUCUGUAACUGACGCUGAGGAGCGAAAGCGUGGAGAGCGAACAGGAUUAUAUACCCUGGUAGUCCACGCCGUAAACGAUGAGUGCUAAGUGUUAGGGGGUUUCCGCCCCUUAGUGCUGCAGCUAACGCAUUAAGCACUCCGCCUGGGG